This 365-nucleotide transfer-messenger RNA is filed under the name Paenibacillus sp. OAS669. It matches the Rfam family "transfer-messenger RNA". Rfam says of the family: Bacterial tmRNA, also known as 10Sa RNA or SsrA, is named for its dual tRNA and mRNA-like properties. Its role is to liberate the mRNA from a stalled ribosome. To accomplish this part of the tmRNA is used as a reading frame that ends in a translation stop signal. Lineage: Bacteria; Bacillati; Bacillota; Bacilli; Caryophanales; Paenibacillaceae. RNAcentral also lists the same sequence under 1 other name. The record is from Rfam by way of RNAcentral.
GGGGACGUUUCUGGAUUCGACGGGGAUAGUUCGAGCAUAGGUAGCGGGUAGUGGGGACGCGACCGCUUUAUCAACGCUAAAGCCUAUUAAAUGGCAAACAACAACAACCUGCUCUUUUAGCAGCCUAAGAAACUGCUGGAGCGCUCCUACCUUCCAUCGCCCAUGUGGCGGGAUAGGGGCUCAACCUUUAGUGGGAUACGCUGUCUAGUCUCCGCCUGCGGCUAGCUGAAGAAGACAACCAGGCUGACCCAACGCAGAGCCGGUUACGGGGCGCUGCUCGGGUGACAUCAAAACUGUGACUACACCCGUAGAAGCCUAUGUGGCGUUAUCUUCGGACAGGGGUUCGACUCCCCUCGUCUCCAUAA